Molecule: non-coding RNA, 72 nt
Organism: Cercophora sp. LCS_1
Lineage: Eukaryota; Fungi; Ascomycota; Sordariomycetes; Sordariales; Lasiosphaeriaceae
Source: the annotation of a GenBank genome assembly
GCCCAGCUGGCCUAAUGGUAAGGCAUUGGACUUCUAAUCCAAGGAUUGUGGGUUCGAGUCCCACGUUGGGUG